Molecule: transfer RNA, 92 nt
Filed under: Nitrospiria bacterium
Lineage: Bacteria; Pseudomonadati; Nitrospirota; Nitrospiria
Description: tRNA-Ser
Rfam family: tRNA
About the family: Transfer RNA (tRNA) molecules are approximately 80 nucleotides in length.
Source: RNAcentral
GGAGAGAUGUCCGAGCCCGGUUGAAGGAGCACGACUGGAAAUCGUGUAGGGGGCCAAAAGCUUCCUCGGGGGUUCAAAUCCCCCUCUCUCCG